CAGCUACAUAUUGUUUUAGACUCUCCACAUAAGACAUCCUCAUGACUUCUUCUGUGCAUGAUCGUUCUGAUAAUAGUGAAUCUGAUGACCAGCAAAGUCAUUCAGAGUCUCAAAUUCAUUCUUCCUUGCCUGCCAUUGGAAUUUCUCAUCCUGGAAUUCCAACCCCAAAUAUUCAGUAUGCAGCCCCUCCACAGG
Non-coding RNA from Prunus avium (sweet cherry), 195 nucleotides. The record is from RefSeq and is a predicted model, not a curated record. Lineage: Eukaryota; Viridiplantae; Streptophyta; Magnoliopsida; Rosales; Rosaceae.